This 504-nucleotide ribosomal RNA is filed under the name uncultured bacterium. RNAcentral's name for it is "partial 16S ribosomal RNA". It matches the Rfam family "Bacterial small subunit ribosomal RNA", at positions 899 to 1397 of the family's 1533-position model. The record is from RNAcentral.
ACUCAAAUGAAUUGACGGGGGCUCACACAAGCGGUGGAGCAUGUGGCUUAAUUCGAGGCUACGCGCAGAACCUUAUCCCGGGCUUGACAUGCACGGAUUAGCCGGCGGAAACGUCGGCGAGGCCGCAAGGUACAACGUGCACAGGUGCUGCAUGGCUGUCGUCAGCUCGUGCCGUGAGGUGUUGGGUUAAGUCCCGUAACGAGCGAAACCCCUGUCCCUAGUUGCCAGCGGGUCAUGCCGGGAACUCUAGGGAGACCGCCGGCGUCAAGCCGGAGGAAGGCGGGGAUGACGUCAAGUCCUCAUGGCCCUUAUGCCCGGGGCUGCACACGUGCUACAAUGGGCCGGACAGAGCGUCGCCAGGCCGCGAGGCCGAGCUAAUCGCCCAAACCGGCCCCCAGUUCGGAUUGCGGGCUGCAACCCGCCCGCAUGAAGCCGGAAUCGCUAGUAAUCGCGGAUCAGCACGCCGCGGUGAAUGGGUUCCUGAGCCUUGUACACACCGCCCGU